RNAcentral lists this ribosomal RNA (40 nucleotides) under Veronica parviflora. RNAcentral describes it as "partial 28S ribosomal RNA". Lineage: Eukaryota; Viridiplantae; Streptophyta; Magnoliopsida; Lamiales; Plantaginaceae. The record is from RNAcentral.
CCGCGACCCCAGGUCAGGCGGGACUACCCWGUGAGUUUAA